GACGAACGCUGGCGGCGUGCCUAACACAUGCAAGUCGAACGCGAAAGUCCCGCAAGGGAUAAGUAGAGUGGCAAACGGGUGAGUAACACGUGGGUGACCUGCCUUCGAGUGGGGGAUAACGUCCCGAAAGGGACGCUAAUACCGCAUAACAUCCUGCCUUUUAAGAGGUGGAGAUCAAAGCUGGGGACCGCAAGGCCUGGCGCUGGAAGAGGGGCCCGCGUCUGAUUAGCUAGUUGGUGAGGAACGGCUCACCAAGGCAACGAUCAGUAUCCGGCCUGAGAGGGCGGACGGACACACUGGGACUGAGACACGGCCCAGACUCCUACGGGAGGCAGCAGUGGGGAAUUGUUCGCAAUGGGCGCAAGCCUGACGACGCAACGCCGCGUGGAGGAUGAAGACC
RNAcentral lists this ribosomal RNA (400 nucleotides) under uncultured bacterium. RNAcentral describes it as "bacterial SSU rRNA". It matches the Rfam family "Bacterial small subunit ribosomal RNA", at positions 28 to 416 of the family's 1533-position model. The record is from RNAcentral.